Molecule: long non-coding RNA, 1183 nt
Organism: Mesocricetus auratus (golden hamster)
Lineage: Eukaryota; Metazoa; Chordata; Mammalia; Rodentia; Cricetidae
Exons: 7
Source: RefSeq, a predicted model, not a curated record
CCUGAUGGUCAGAGCCCAAGGCAUCUUUCCCCUGGUGAUACAUUAAUCCAAUUUUUGCCAUUCUCUAAGGACCUUCAUUCUGCCCAGGUCUGAAGUGCUAAGCCAAUGUAGAGUGCUCAGGUACCUGGAGGGAAAUUUGUUCCUUUCUAUGUACUGAUCAGUGGUCCUUGACUGUUAAAAGAGUCCCACCCACAGCAGCUUUCUUACCUGUGGAAAAGGCUUGGGAUUUCACAUGGAGACCUGUUCCUGAGGACCAUCUGUCUUUCUGCCUUCUGAGAGGUUUUCAGAGAUGGCUAGUCUGUAUCCACUUGAUUGGACCACUGGGCCAGCGAUUUGAUCACACAGAAAUACAGGACUACUCAUAGGAUGCCUUUGACCAAGAAACAGGUGACAGGUCAUUCCCCCAGUGAUAGAGGAACAUAUGAGAUGUCCCUUGGAUCUCCUACAAUGAUAGAAGAAGAUAUGAGAUGUCCCUUUGCUCCCCUGCAGCAAAGAUCCAAAGCUAUGGAUUCAGGGCUGUUCUUACCCAGAAAUGGGCUCCUGAGCUUGACUGGAUGAAGUAAAUGGUCCUAAGGGAGGCAGCAGUUCCUUUUGGAUGAUCGGUAGUGUGGACUUCAAAUCACUGAUGAGGUAUUUUAUAAAUACUCCAUACACAAGAAGGAAUAACUGCUGAAGGUUUUGGAGCUUCCACUGGGUCUCCACAGAGAAGGCAUUUUCUGGUUGGUUCCUGAAAGCCCUAUGUUUUAUAGGUGUAAAUAUCAUCUGCCCCAGGUCCUGCCCAUCCAGUCCUCUACAGCUCCCUUUCUUCCUCGCAGUCAGAGCCUGUGGCUGUUUGCAACUCUUUCUUGGUCAGUGUUCACUGCAGAAUUCUGGUGCUGGCCUUCAAAGCAAAGAUAUAUUCUUCUGCAAAGGAGCUGUCUACAGUGUGGAACCCAAACCAGGCCCCAGCAGUCACAGGGAACAAACCGCACAAAUCGCUUCUAUGAGAGCCUGGAGCUCAAAACUGUAGCUCUAUGCCAUGGAAACAGUCCUUGCCUCAACCACGCUGUUGUAGGUGUUUCUUUGACAAUGUGUCCUUACAAGUUUAACAUAUGAUUUCUAGACAAAUCCCAUGAGAACUGGUGAUUUAUCCCCUUCCUAAUACACACGUGCCUGUGAAAUAAUAAACAUAGGAUCUGGGAGA